GCUGGCAGAGAGUGACGCUGCCCGACGACUCCCGGCCGCCGAGUAUCCUCUCCGGGGUGGUGGAGAGGCUGGGAGACUUUAGCUUUUAGUGUUCAGUGUGUAGACCUGAUGCAGAGACCGGGAGGGGUGCCUGCAGAAAGAAAGCGGGAAGCCCCACAUCCACAGCUGAUUGACAGUGAGAAUGAGACGGCUGAAAAGAAGAGGCACCAUUCCACAUCAAAUGAAUGAUGGAGAGAGAAGCGUCACUGUCUAGAUAACUCCCCUAAUGGUCCAAAAUAACCCCUGCAAUCGGAUGGACAAAUAGGAACUUGAAUAUAAUGUCAAGAAAUCUGAGGUUUCCCUUCUCCUGAAUAUCUGGAUAAACAUGUCUCCCAUUCUCUACCCCAGAAUCAGACCCUGAGACAGAGAUUAGGGUGCAAGUUUAGUAGGGGGCGUAUUGGACUCUCUGGGGCUCCCUGGGAUCCCCUAUACUGGAAGGUAUAUCCAUCCUCCAGCUGUGAGUAUUGGCCGCCAACACUUCACAGUUGACCUCUGUUCUGGAGAAUUGCCUUUGGCCAAAUGGGCACUGCCUCAGCUUGGAGAUUAUAUGCUACCAUACCACUUCAGGGAAAGCCUCAGAAAAUGUCUAACUGAAGUAGGGAUUCCAAAGGCUGGCCCCCUUACCUGAAGGGGACACUAACUCUUUGUUACAAUCUGUGCUCUGGAAGUUCCCUCAGGGGAUUGGGCUGAAGCGAGGCUCCAGCCAGGACUGCAUCCUUGUUCAGCUCCUUUCCCUGCCCCAUCUUACAGCCCUGUCUCCUCUUCCCUGAGGACACUAUUCCACUAAAUCACGUGAACGAGACCCUUGUCUCAGGCUCUGCUUAUAGGGACCUCGCUGUGACAGGAGGUGAGGGAAACAUAGGUAGGUGAGUGGGGAAGUGAGAUAAGGAAGAAGACAAUAAAGGUAUGUUAUUAAGACAGUCACCACCGGAGGUGACUGGAAAUUAAUCCUGUGGCAAAACUGGAGGCCGAUGUAGAACACAGACCUCUGAAUUAUCCCAUCCAAUGGGCUGGGGUAUUUAUACACCAGUUCUCACCAGACAUUGGUCAAAAGCUGCCAGACUACAUCAACCCCGCAGCACUCCAGCCUGCCCAAGGUGGACAGGGAAGCCCUCCUAGGUUUCAGAGAAAGCCCUUGGGCUCCAAAGCUGGCAGUUGGAAGUCAGAUAACUGAGACUGAAGAGGGGAGGUAAUAUGGGCAGGGUAUAUGAAUUCUCAAUUCUAGCCCCAAAUUUCUGUCUGUUUAAUGAGUUCAAUGCAUGGACCUCUAAAACAUCUCUAUUCGAUGCCAUACUGACCCAAAUGGGCUUGAACCCCGCUCUGUUCACACACACACUCUCUCACACAGCAUUUAUAUAUAAGUUGGCUUCACCUAGGGCUCAGGUGAUUGAGAUAUUUACUUUGCUGAGAUACAUAUAUCUUCAAAGAUAACAUUGCACGUUUCUAUUCCUAAAAGUCUUUCAGCU
This is a long non-coding RNA of Homo sapiens (human), 1505 nucleotides long. The record is from Ensembl. Lineage: Eukaryota; Metazoa; Chordata; Mammalia; Primates; Hominidae.